This is a non-coding RNA of Potamilus streckersoni, 74 nucleotides long. The record is from the annotation of a GenBank genome assembly. Lineage: Eukaryota; Metazoa; Mollusca; Bivalvia; Unionida; Unionidae.
GGCUCCGGUGGCCUAAUGGUUAAAGCGUUCACCUCAGAUGCGAGAGGUCGUGGGUUCUAUCCCCGGUCGAGCCA